Molecule: ribosomal RNA, 428 nt
Filed under: uncultured bacterium
Lineage: Bacteria
Description: bacterial SSU rRNA
Rfam family: Bacterial small subunit ribosomal RNA
Source: RNAcentral
AUUGAACGCUGGCGGCAGGCCUAACACAUGCAAGUCGAACGGCAGCGGGGGGUAGCUUGCUACCCCGCCGGCGAGUGGCGGACGGGUGAGUAAUGCCUGGGGAGCUGCCCAAUCGAGGGGGAUACCAGUUGGAAACGACUGCUAAUACCGCAUACGCCCUGAGGGGGAAAGGUGGGGAUCUUCGGACCUACCGCGAUUGGAUGCACCCAGGUGGGAUUAGCUAGUUGGUGAGGUAACGGCUCACCAAGGCGACGAUCUCUAGCUGGUCUGAGAGGAUGACCAGCCACACUGGAACUGAGACACGGUCCAGACUCCUACGGGAGGCAGCAGUGGGGAAUAUUGCACAAUGGGGGAAACCCUGAUGCAGCCAUGCCGCGUGUGUGAAGAAGGCCUCGGUGUAAGCACUUUCAGCGAGGAGGAAAGGUAGG